Schizosaccharomyces pombe (fission yeast) is the source of this 1167-nucleotide non-coding RNA. The record is from the annotation of a GenBank genome assembly. NCBI's taxonomy places the organism in Eukaryota, Fungi, Ascomycota, Schizosaccharomycetes, Schizosaccharomycetales, Schizosaccharomycetaceae.
GUAAUUUUCCACGCAAAUCUUCUCCAAAUCUAACUACUAAGUCAAACAAACCUCUUCUUCAACGCGAUAUUUAGACGAAUCUUAAUUCUUUCUCAUAUCGAAAACCCUUGAAUCGGGAGCUUGACUGAGAGGGAAUGAAAUGUUAUGCGCAACCAAGUGAUAUAAAUUAGUAUAUGGACUUGAAACAUGAAAGUUGGUUAUACAUACAAAAGAGUAUAAAUAAGCCAAAGUGUGAUAGCGACAUUAGCAUUGUUAGUAAAUGGAUGCUUGAGUGUUUGAAUACUUUUUCAUGAACAAGUCCUAUAGACGGACAGAAAAUAUAUUAUUUAGGGUCAAGAUGCAAGUGGGAAAAAUUUUUUUUGGCGUAAAGUAGAUCUACAUAGCGCAUUAAUUGACUUGUAAGGUGUGAUGUUUAAAAACCACGCUUUUAAUAAGGAAGCUAAUAUAGACAGAUAUAUCCAUUGAAUACAAUAAUGGUUGGGAAGUUGCCUAAAAAAAAAAAUUGUUUCCGAAUUUGAUCUGUUCGAUAAGCUGCGCUAUGUGAACAUUAUUUAUACAACAAGCAUCUAUUCUAGAUCCUCGUUAUAUCGUCUCGUUAUUCCUUUUACGAAUCAUACAACCUAGUGCAUUCGCAAACGAUGACACCGAUAAAUAGGGUAAACCGUUAAACACCGAAAUCCGAGCGUCUCAAUGUUUUGAGCAAAAAUACACAUAAAAAAGGUAUGGGAUUUUUGAUCGUGCAUUUUCUUUUUUAAGCGGCUUUUCGUGUAUGUUUAUGAGUAGCAGAAGACUGUAUAUUCGAUAUGUAUUUUGGUUGUCUACCAUACCACGUACUUACGACUUCUAACAUAAAAGUUCUUCAUUGAAUACUUUGUUUGGUUUAAACUUCUUCAUUUUGUCAAUCGCUUCGGAACUAAUGAAUAAAGCCUCGCUUUUCGGAUUAAGCUAUUUCUCCGGUUCGUUCUAACUGGCUAGUGACUACUUUCCCCCCGUAGAUCAUGGCGUUAUGAUGUCAUAUAUGCUAAUCUUUUUCAAAAAAGAAAAUAUAUAAGAAAAUGGUAAUAUGUCUUCUCCUUUAUACUAGCUUUAAAAGCAAUAAAAGAUCGUUAUUUGACUUUGCAAAAAGUUGUUUUACACUAUUACACUCACUUGGUUUUACAUGGCUAA